GCUGGGUAAGGGGGCUCACGCCUGUAAUCCCAACAGCUCAGGAGGCUGAGGCAGGAGGACCACAAGCCAGCCUCAGCAAAAGCGAGGCACUAAAGCAACUCAGUGAGAUCCUGUCUCUA
This 119-nucleotide small RNA is filed under the name Marmota monax (woodchuck). Lineage: Eukaryota; Metazoa; Chordata; Mammalia; Rodentia; Sciuridae. The record is from RNAcentral.